GACGAAGGGGGCUAGCGUUGUUCGGAAUUACUGGGCGUAAAGCGUGCGCAGGCGGUUUUGUAAGUCAGAUGUGAAAUCCCCGGGCUUAACCUGGGAACUGCGUUUGAAACUACAAGGCUAGAGUGUGGCAGAGGGGGGUGGAAUUCCACGUGUAGCAGUGAAAUGCGUAGAGAUGUGGAGGAACACCGAUGGCGAAGGCAGCCCCCUGGGUUAACACUGACGCUCAGGUACGAAAGCGUGGGGAGCAAACAGG
Molecule: ribosomal RNA, 253 nt
Filed under: uncultured bacterium
Lineage: Bacteria
Description: partial 16S ribosomal RNA
Rfam family: Bacterial small subunit ribosomal RNA
Source: RNAcentral